CAGCAGCCGCGGUAAUACAUAGGGGCCAAACGUUGUCCGGAUUUAUUGGGCGUAAAGGGCUCGUAGGCGGCUUGGAAAGUCAACCGUGAAAACCCGGGGCUCAACCCCGGGACGCCGGUCGAAACUUCCAUGGCUAGGGUCCGGUAGAGGUGAGUGGAAUUCUAGGUGUAGCGGUGAAAUGCGCAGAUAUCUAGAGGAACACCAGUAGCGAAGGCGGCUCACUGGGCCGGUACCGACGCUGAGGAGCGAAAGCGUGGGGAGCAAACAGGAUUAGAUACCCUGGUAGUCCACGCCGUAAACGUUGAACACUAGGUGUGGGGGACUUAUCCACGUCCUCCGUGCCGCAGCUAACGCAUUAAGUGUUCCGCCUGGGGAGUACGGCCGCAAGGCUAAAACUCAAAGGAAUUGACGGGGCCCCGCACAAGCGGCGGAGCAUGCGGCUUAAUUCGAUGCAACCCGAAGAACCUUACCUGGACUUGACAUCAUGGGUCCGCCUGCGGAAACACAGGGUGCUUUUGCGCCCAUGACAGGUGCUGCAUGGCUGUCGUCAGCUCGUGUCGUGAGAUGUUGGGUUAAGUCCCGCAACGAGCGCAACCCUUGUCCUAUGUUGCCAGCGGUUCGGCCGGGGACUCAUAGGAGACUGCCGGGGACAACUCGGAGGAAGGCGGGGAUGACGUCAAGUCAUCAUGCCCCUUAUGUUCAGGGCUGCACGCAUGCUACAAUGGGCGGUACAACGGGCUGCGAUCCCGCGAGGGUGAGCGAAUCCCUGAAAACCGUCCUCAGUUCGGAUUGGAGUCUGCAACUCGACUCCAUGAAGCCGGAGUCGCUAGUAAUCGCGAAUCAGCAAUGUCGCGGUGAAUACGUUCUCGGGGCUUGUACACACCGCCCGUCACAUCACGGAAGUCGGUAACGCCCGAAGUCAGUGGCCUAACCUUUUUGGAGGGAGCUGCCGAAGGCGGGAUCGGCGACUGGGAUGAAGUCGUAACAAGGUAGCCGUA
This 998-nucleotide ribosomal RNA is filed under the name uncultured Actinomycetes bacterium. RNAcentral's name for it is "bacterial SSU rRNA". It matches the Rfam family "Bacterial small subunit ribosomal RNA", at positions 509 to 1504 of the family's 1533-position model. The record is from RNAcentral. Lineage: Bacteria; Bacillati; Actinomycetota; Actinomycetes.